AAAUUUCUGAAUCUUGGGCAAAUGUUCUCUUGUAACUGCUUUACAGUUUCUAAAAGCAGUUAUUGUCCAAAGCUGGAAGAACUUAAGUCUUCUCAGAUGAUCAUGUGAAUGAAUGGAGGGAGGUAAACAAAAAAUAAAAUU
Dipodomys ordii (Ord's kangaroo rat) is the source of this 141-nucleotide long non-coding RNA. RefSeq lists it as uncharacterized. The record is from RefSeq and is a predicted model, not a curated record. The transcript has 2 exons. Lineage: Eukaryota; Metazoa; Chordata; Mammalia; Rodentia; Heteromyidae.